GUGCCAGCAGCCGCGGUAAGACGAGGGGUCCUAGCGUUGUUCGGAAUCACUGGGCGUAAAGCGUAUGUAGGCGGGCUUUUAAGUCAGGUGUGAAAUCCCAUGGCUCAACCAUGGAAUUGCAUUUGAAACUGGAAGUCUUGAGUGUGGGAGAGAUUGGUAGAAUACCUGGUGUAGUGGUGAAAUACGUAGAUAUCAGGUGGAAUACCGGUGGCGAAGGCGGCCAAUUGGCCCAACACUGACGCUGAGAUACGAAAGCGUGGGGAUCAAACAGGAUUAGAUACCCCUGUAGUCC
This 292-nucleotide ribosomal RNA is filed under the name uncultured bacterium. RNAcentral describes it as "partial 16S ribosomal RNA". It matches the Rfam family "Bacterial small subunit ribosomal RNA", at positions 505 to 796 of the family's 1533-position model. The record is from RNAcentral.